This 499-nucleotide ribosomal RNA is filed under the name uncultured bacterium. Its description in RNAcentral is "partial 16S ribosomal RNA". It matches the Rfam family "Bacterial small subunit ribosomal RNA", at positions 29 to 523 of the family's 1533-position model. The record is from RNAcentral.
AUUGAACGCUGGCGGCAUGCCUUACACAUGCAAGUCGAACGCGAAAGGGGGGCAACUCCUGAGUAGAGUGGCGCACGGGUGAGUAAUGCAUCGGAACGUGUCCUGUAGCGGGGGAUAACCUAGCGAAAGCUAGGCUAAUACCGCAUACGUCCUACGGGAGAGAGUGGAGGAUCGUAAGACCUCACACUAUAGGAGCGGCCGAUGCCGGAUUAGCUAGUUGGUGGGGUAAGAGCCUACCAAGGCGACGAUCCGUAGCUGGUCUGAGAGGAUGAUCAGCCACACUGGGACUGAGACACGGCCCAGACUCCUACGGGAGGCAGCAGUGGGGAAUUUUGGACAAUGGGGGAAACCCUGAUCCAGCCAUGCCGCGUGAGUGAAGAAGGCCUUCGGGUUGUAAAGCUCUUUCGGCCGGGACGAAAUCGCACGCGUGAAUAUCGUGUGCGGAUGACGGUACCGGCAGAAGAAGGACCGGCUAACUACGUGCCAGCCGCCGCAGUAA